CCCUAUAGGUUACAGAUGCUGGAAUGCUCUGUAACCCAAAGUUCCGACGCCUUAGGAUGGAUCUGCGGCCGAUUAGGUUGUUGUUGGGGUAACGGCCCAACAAGCCAGUAAUCGGUACGGGUUGUGGGAGCAAGAGCCCGGAGUUGGAUUCUGAGACACGAAUCCAGGCCCUACGGGGCGCAGCAGGCGCGAAAACUUUACAAUGCGGGCAACCGUGAUAAGGGAACCUCGAGUGCCUGUAUAUGCAGGCUGUCCAGGUGUCUAAAUCACACCUGAAGAAAGGGCCGGGCAAGACCGGUGCCAGCCGCCGCGGUAAUACCGGCGGCUCGAGUGGUGGCCACUUUUAUUGGGCUUAAAGCGUUCGUAGCUGGGUUGUUAAGUCUCUUGGGAAAUCCGACGGCUCAACCGUCGGGCGUCUAAGAGAUACUGGCAAUCUUGGAACCGGGAGAGGUGAGGGGUACUUCGGGGGUAGGAGUGAAAUCCUGUAAUCCUCGAGGGACCACCUGUGGCGAAGGCGCCUCACCAGAACGGCUUCGACAGUGAGGGACGAAAGCUGGGGGAGCAAACCGGAUUAGAUACCCGGGUAGUCCCAGCCGUAAACGAUGCGCGUUAGGUGUAUCGACGACCACGAGUCGUCGAGGUGCCGAAGGGAAAACCGUG
Molecule: ribosomal RNA, 660 nt
Filed under: Methanoculleus sp.
Lineage: Archaea; Methanobacteriati; Methanobacteriota; Methanomicrobia; Methanomicrobiales; Methanomicrobiaceae
Description: bacterial SSU rRNA
Rfam family: Archaeal small subunit ribosomal RNA
Source: RNAcentral